AUUGAACGCUGGCGGCAGGCCUAACACAUGCAAGUCGAACGAGUGGCGGACGGGUGAGUACUGUCUGGGAAACUGCCCGAUGGAGGGGGAUAACUACUGGAAACGGUAGCUAAUACCGCAUACCAUCUGAUGUGCCCAGAUGGGCUUAGCUAGUAGGUGGGGUAAGGGCUCACCUAGGCGACGAUCCGUAGCUGGUCUGAGAGGAUGACCAGCCACACUGGAACUGAGACACGGUCCAGACGCCGACGGGAGGCAGCAGUGGGGAAUAUUGCACAAUGGGGGCAAGCCUGAUGCAGCCAUGCCGGGUGUAUGAAGAAGGCCUUCGGGUUGUAAAGUACUUUCGGCGGGGAAGCGGUACCUGCAGAAUAAGCACCGGCUAACUCCGUGCCAGCAGCCGCGGUAAUAC
RNAcentral lists this ribosomal RNA (406 nucleotides) under uncultured bacterium. Its description in RNAcentral is "partial 16S ribosomal RNA". It matches the Rfam family "Bacterial small subunit ribosomal RNA", at positions 30 to 526 of the family's 1533-position model. The record is from RNAcentral.